This 198-nucleotide ribosomal RNA is filed under the name uncultured Bacillota bacterium. RNAcentral describes it as "uncultured Firmicutes bacterium partial 16S ribosomal RNA". The record is from RNAcentral. Lineage: Bacteria; Bacillati; Bacillota.
GACUCCUACGGGAGGCAGCAGUAGGGGAAUCUUUCCGCAAUGGACGAAAGUCCUGAUCGCCAGCACACGCCGCGUGCAGGAAUGAAGGUCCUUCGGAUCUGUAAAACUGCUGUUGUCCGGAACGAACAGACUGCCUUAUAAUCUAGAGGGGCGUGCCUUGACCGGUCCCGUACCAGUUGAGCCUGUGCUUGUUACCUG